RNAcentral lists this ribosomal RNA (492 nucleotides) under uncultured bacterium. Its description in RNAcentral is "partial 16S ribosomal RNA". It matches the Rfam family "Bacterial small subunit ribosomal RNA", at positions 29 to 507 of the family's 1533-position model. The record is from RNAcentral.
AGUGAACGCUGGCGGUAGGCCUAACACAUGCAAGUCGAACGGCAGCACAGUAAGAGCUUGCUCUUACGGGUGGCGAGUGGCGGACGGGUGAGGAAUACAUCGGAAUCUACUUUUUCGUGGGGGAUAACGUAGGGAAACUUACGCUAAUACCGCAUACGACCUACGGGUGAAAGCAGGGGAUCUUCGGACCUUGCGCGAUUGAAUGAGCCGAUGUCGGAUUAGCUAGUUGGCGGGGUAAAGGCCCACCAAGGCGACGAUCCGUAGCUGGUCUGAGAGGAUGAUCAGCAACACUGGAACUGAGACACGGUCCAGACUCCUACGGGAGGCAGCAGUGGGGAAUAUUGGACAAUGGGCGCAAGCCUGAUCCAGCCAGACCGCGUGGGUGAAGAAGGCCUUCGGGUUGUAAAGCCCUUUUGUUGGGAAAGAAAAGCAGCAGGUUAAUACCCCGCUGUUCUGACGGUACCCAAAGAAUAAGCACCGGCUAACUUCGUG